GACGAACCGUGCGAACGUUGUUCGGAAUCACUGGGCUUAAAGGGCGCGUAGGCGGGUUCCCAAGUCCGGGGUGAAAUCUUUCGGCUCAACCGGAAAAUAGCCUUGGAUACUGGGAGUCUCGAGGGAGGUAGGGGCAGCGGGAACUUCCGGUGGAGCGGUGAAAUGCGUUGAUAUCGGAAGGAACGCCGGUGGCGAAAGCGCGCUGCUGGACCUCUGCUGACGCUGAGGCGCGAAAGCCAGGGGAGCAAACGGU
This 253-nucleotide ribosomal RNA is filed under the name uncultured bacterium. Its description in RNAcentral is "partial 16S ribosomal RNA". It matches the Rfam family "Bacterial small subunit ribosomal RNA", at positions 524 to 776 of the family's 1533-position model. The record is from RNAcentral.